CGCGUAGGCGGACUCUUAAGUCGGGGGUGAAAGCCCAGGGCUCAACCCUGGAAUUGCCUUCGAUACUGAGAGUCUUGAGUUCGGAAGAGGUUGGUGGAACUGCGAGUGUAGAGGUGAAAUUCGUAGAUAUUCGCAAGAACACCAGUGGCGAAGGCGGCCAACUGGUCCGAUACUGACGCUGAGGCGCGAAAGCGUGGGAGCAAACA
This 206-nucleotide ribosomal RNA is filed under the name uncultured bacterium. RNAcentral describes it as "partial 16S ribosomal RNA". It matches the Rfam family "Bacterial small subunit ribosomal RNA", at positions 568 to 774 of the family's 1533-position model. The record is from RNAcentral.